Macaca mulatta (Rhesus monkey) is the source of this 1964-nucleotide long non-coding RNA. NCBI's taxonomy places the organism in Eukaryota, Metazoa, Chordata, Mammalia, Primates, Cercopithecidae. The record is from Ensembl.
GGAAACGGCCCAGUUGCUCAGCCUCUCUGGGUCUAUUCCUUAUCUGUAAAAUGGAGAUGAUAAUAGUGCCUGCCUCAGAUGGUUCCUCGAGGAUGAAAUGAGUUAAUAUACAUAAAGUGCUUACAACAGGCUCACGGAAAGGUCGACUUCUCAGCACAUCUGCGUCCUCCAAACUCUAAGUCUAAGAGAAGGAGAAAAGGCGACCUGGCAAAGACGGAAACAUCCUUGAGUCAGAAGCCCUUCUUGUGAAAGCUGCCAGGAUGUAUUCAGUGGCCCCUGCGUCCUUCCAGUGAACCAGUUUCUGAGUAGGAGAUGAUGACAGUCCUUUCCUAGCCCUUUGCAGGUUGGUGUGAUUGCUCCGCAGAGAAGAGGACCUGGCAGGCUUUCGGGCCCCUGAAGGUAUUGAAACUUCAGUGCCAAUAAAUGGACGUGGAAAAGCAGCCCUGGGGAACCAGAAGAGUUGAGCACAAAGCUUGGACCUUGGCUGAGCAAACAACCUCAAGAGGCACUAUGGCAACCUUGGCUUCCAUCAGAUUGUUCUUCCAAGAGAGUGGAUGUGGAUGCCCAAUGCCUUGUUGUAGCUCCUUUGAGUACGAGGUGAUUCCAAAGAAUCAUUUGCUGUUUGACCCAAAGGAACAUGACUGCCAGAGGGAAGAAAGGCAAUUGAGCUGAGAAGAGCAGUAUUUAAAGACCAAGGUCGUCGAUUUGGAAUUGGGCAGCCAAUUCUGUGUUUACCUGGUAGUAACACUCCUGCACAUGCAACAGUGUCAGGAAGUGAGUAUUGCUACAAGCAGAACACUGGGUGGAGGAACGUAUUAUCAAUCCUAUAAUAGAUAAAAGAACAACAAUCCUGAACCCUCACAUUCAUUUUUUGGCUUUCCUGAGAGAACUAAGAAUUGUGGGUAACCUUGAGGAAGGAAGGAAACAAGCUUUGCUGAAGCUGGGCUCGUUUUCAGCUGUCAGUGGAAAAACACAAGUCUGCACCAGUCUCCGCUGAAAGUCUCAAGCUCGGCCAGUAGUUGUUUUCCAGCUUCUUGUUACCUUUGAAAUCGAAACAUUUUCGAUUUCUUCCUUUCUGCUGUGCCAGCGUGACGGAGCUAAGUGAGAGAGUUUGCCCCAUGAAGGUGCCGCAAUUAUGCACUGUGUCACCACCGGACAUGCAGCUGGCGAAUGUGCAGGGCGCCUGCAGCCGAGGGACCCGAGUGUGCUUUUGAAAACGUGAUCAUAGCCACUUUCAGUUCGUCUUGCCUUAAAUCAGUGGAGAAAAAGAGGCAGCUGAUACUCCGCUUGUAAGGGACAGUAACACCAUAAUAAAUCACUUUUUUUUCUGUGCCAGUUUUCUACCUUGCCCUAAUUUCCUAGAUGAAAUCACAUGUGUAAAACUGACUUUGCAAUUUAGCUCUGAAGUCCAGAAAGGCUACCCAGGGAGCACCGUGCCUUUUUUUAUACUUAUUCCCUGAUAUGUUAAAUCACCUAGAAAGCUGAAGGAAAAAGCUCCCCGGCCUGCGCAAGUGCAAAGAGGGUGCCUCUGAAGGAUAGCCCACCAUUCUAAAGCUGAAAGAAAGUGGAAGGCCUAGGAGUAAUAAUAAUAACAAGUAUUAUCUUUCUGUUUUUAACCUCAGAUGCAGUGAGUUGAUUAAUUACACUCCUCCGCUCACGGCACAUUUUUAUUGUUACUCCUUCCAAUUCCUACUUUUGUUUCGUAUAUUUAUUUAGAUUCCAUUCCAGCUUAUGGACUUACCCCCCCCUCCAGCCACUACCCCAUAGGUAACCGUUCCAGUAUGUUUAAUGUACAUGUAUUUAUUUGUAUGUGUUCUUACAAAUUGUGUAAGCCUAUAUUAUCAAUUUACAUAAUGGUACUGUGUUGCAUAUCUUUCCCUUUCCUUUUUUACUCAGGUCGGUUUUUAAGAUCCAACUUUGUUGCUGUGUGUAUAUUGAGUCUAUUGAUUCUAAUUGCCGCAGAA